CAGCUACUCGAGUUCCCGAGGUGGUGUAAGCGUCGCAACCGAAAGAGGAGAGACGAGUCGCAGUGUUUUACUUAUCCAAAAAGCCCGACCUUCUGAUUCUGGAAAUUAUCAGUGUAACCCUUCUAAUGCUCGUCCCGCUAACGUCACCGUACAUGUUCUAAACGGUGAACACCCAGAAGCAAUGCAACAUGGCGGCAUCCAGCGGACAUGCCCACCCCUAACAGUGAUUGCUGCAGUUUGCUUCGUUUUGUUGUCAUGUUGUUAAUUUUAUAGUCGUUUGCUGUCGAAAUUUUCUGACGCUCUAACCGUGUAAAGAAAACCACUAACAUAUGUCGAAAAUCCAUCGUUACUGGGAAAUAAUGAUAAUUUGGAUGUAGGGUUAUUGUAUAUAAAUUAUGACAAGUUUAGUAGUCCUAAAAAUGUUGUUAAUUUAUUUUCUUAUGUUUUAAAAUCACAAAUGUAAAAAAAACUAACAAAAAAAGUGA
Long non-coding RNA from Photinus pyralis (common eastern firefly), 485 nucleotides. RefSeq lists it as uncharacterized. The record is from RefSeq and is a predicted model, not a curated record. The transcript is spliced from 2 exons. NCBI's taxonomy places the organism in Eukaryota, Metazoa, Arthropoda, Insecta, Coleoptera, Lampyridae.